Molecule: unclassified non-coding RNA, 422 nt
Filed under: Hosea lobbii
Lineage: Eukaryota; Viridiplantae; Streptophyta; Magnoliopsida; Lamiales; Lamiaceae
Description: partial external transcribed spacer
Source: RNAcentral
AAGGCAUGUUGGAUCCCUGCUCGGGCAGCGACGUCAUCCCGUGCGCACCUCUUCAGUGGCUGGCUCGAGUGCUCGUGCUCKCGGCCAAUGUCGAUUUUUCCUGUGCUGUAUUCCCAUCGAGAUGGCAAUUCGUCGGCUAAAUUAUUCAGUUUCCGCCCUGUGCUGCUACUCCUCAUGGAAAUGCGGCUCUGGGUGGUCCACAAGGCACACGUCGUGUUUCGCGAUCCUUGCAUGAGUUCUUGGGUUGGCGAUCGACGACGAUGCGCUUGAUCUCUCGGAUGCGGAAAAUUGGGCGGCGAUGAGGAAUCGACCUCUGAUGCCCUUUGGUGAAGCGUUCUACGCUUCUUGCGGACGACGGCAAUUCGGUCUCGAUCUGGAGUCGUCUUGGCUCACAGUCGUGGUCGAAUGGCGUCAAUGAGGAA